UGGAGGAAAGUAGGGGAUCGCAAGACCUUGCGCUUUUGGAGUGGCCGAUGCCUGAUUAGCUAGUUGGUGGGGUAAGAGCCUACCAAGGCGACGAUCAGUAGUUGGUCUGAGAGGACGACCAGCCACACUGGGACUGAGACACGGCCCAGACUCCUACGGGAGGCAGCAGUGGGGAAUUUUGGACAAUGGGCGAAAGCCUGAUCCAGCAAUGCCGCGUGAGUGAAGAAGGCCUUUGGGUUGUAAAGCUCUUUCAGUCGAGAAGAAAAGGUCGCGACUAAUAAUCGCGACUCAUGACGGUAUCGACAGAAGAAGCACCGGCUAGCUACGUGCCAGCAGCCGCGGUAAUACGUAGGGUGCGAGCGUUAAUCGGAAUUACUGGGCGUAAAGGGUGCGCAGGCGGCUUUGUAAGUCAGAUGUGA
Molecule: ribosomal RNA, 419 nt
Filed under: uncultured ammonia-oxidizing beta proteobacterium
Lineage: Bacteria; Pseudomonadati; Pseudomonadota; Betaproteobacteria
Description: bacterial SSU rRNA
Rfam family: Bacterial small subunit ribosomal RNA
Source: RNAcentral